GGCUGGUCCAAUGGAUUGUCAGAACUUAUUAGUGUCACUAAAGUUGGUAGACAAUCCCCCACUGCUAAAUUUGACUGGCUUAA
Molecule: small RNA, 83 nt
Filed under: Saimiri boliviensis boliviensis (Bolivian squirrel monkey)
Lineage: Eukaryota; Metazoa; Chordata; Mammalia; Primates; Cebidae
Description: Y RNA (ENSSBOG00000000377.1)
Source: RNAcentral